This 393-nucleotide ribosomal RNA is filed under the name Triticum aestivum (bread wheat). RNAcentral describes it as "partial small subunit ribosomal RNA". Lineage: Eukaryota; Viridiplantae; Streptophyta; Magnoliopsida; Poales; Poaceae. The record is from RNAcentral.
AUGGUCGACGCAAAAAGUCUGCACCAAAUUAUCCUCGACACCGGCCACCACCAACCCAUCGCUGAUCAAGGGUUCGCUGCGAGUGCCUCCGCCGCUGCUAUGCCUACGAGUGGGCCUUGCAAUGGCACUGCGGUGCCAAGCUUGCCGAGCCAACAGGGAUACCAGUCGUAUAUGGACCUCGCUUCAUCGCCGCUGCCGCUACCACCGCCUUUAGGCCUGAAGCUCAACGGUGCUCAUGAAAUGGCCACCAACAAGUGGAAGCGCGACCAACAAUCGUCGAUGCUUGGUGCAGCCCAAGCGCAACAACAGCUGGUCAUUGUCAAUGACAACCUGCACAAUCAUGUAAGUCCAUCGAUCAAAUCGUCACCAUGCAUGUACCUAUCCAUAAUUUGA